GCCCAGAUGGCGGAAUCGGUAGACGCGAUGGUCUCAAACACCAUUGGAGCAAUCCGUGCCGGUUCGACCCCGGCUCUGGGUA
This 82-nucleotide transfer RNA is filed under the name Alloprevotella rava. RNAcentral describes it as "tRNA-Leu". It matches the Rfam family "tRNA". From Rfam's summary of the family: Transfer RNA (tRNA) molecules are approximately 80 nucleotides in length. Their secondary structure includes four short double-helical elements and three loops (D, anti-codon, and T loops). The record is from RNAcentral. RNAcentral also lists the same sequence under 2 other names. Lineage: Bacteria; Pseudomonadati; Bacteroidota; Bacteroidia; Bacteroidales; Prevotellaceae.